This 429-nucleotide ribosomal RNA is filed under the name Chloroflexota bacterium. RNAcentral's name for it is "Chloroflexi bacterium partial 16S ribosomal RNA". It matches the Rfam family "Bacterial small subunit ribosomal RNA", at positions 355 to 776 of the family's 1533-position model. Lineage: Bacteria; Bacillati; Chloroflexota. The record is from RNAcentral.
UGGGGAAUAUUGCACAAUGGGCGCAAGCCUGAUGCAGCCAUGCCGCGUGUGUGAAGAAGGCCUUCGGGUUGUAAAGCACUUUCAGCGGGGAGGAAGGCGAUAAGGUUAAUAACCUUGUCGAUUGACGUUACCCGCAGAAGAAGCACCGGCUAACUCCGUGCCAGCAGCCGCGGUAAUACGGAGGGUGCAAGCGUUAAUCGGAAUUACUGGGGGUAAAGCGCACGCAGGCGGUCUGUCAAGUCGUAUGUGAAAUCCCCGGGCUCAACCUGGGAACUGCAUUCGAAACUGGCAGGCUAGAGUCUUGUAGAGGGGGGUAGAAUUCCAGGUGUAGCGGUGAAAUGCGUAGAGAUCUGGAGGAAUACCGGUGGCGAAGGCGGCCCCCUGGACGAAAACUGACGCUCAGGUGCGAAAGCGUGGGGAGCAAACAGG